AGCAGGCCGACGGUUAAUACGGUAGGGGUGCGAGUCGUUAAUCGGAAUUACUGGGCGUAAAGCGUGCGCAGGCGGUUUUGUAAGACAGGCGUGAAAUCCCCGGGCUCAACCUGGGAACUGCGCUUGUGACUGCAAGGCUAGAGUACGGCAGAGGGGGGUGGAAUUCCACGUGUAGCAGUGAAAUGCGUAGAGAUGUGGAGGAACACCAAUGGCGAAGGCAGCCCCCUGGGUCGAUACUGACGCUCAUGCACGAAAGCGUGGGUAGCAAACAGGAUUAGAUACCCCUGGUAGUCCACGCCCUAAACGAUGUCAACUAGGUGUUGGGUGGGUAAAACCAUUUAGUACCGUAGCUAACGCGUGAAGUUGACCGCCUGGGGAGUACGGCCGCAAGGUUAAAACUCAAAGGAAUUGACGGG
This 416-nucleotide ribosomal RNA is filed under the name uncultured bacterium. Its description in RNAcentral is "bacterial SSU rRNA". It matches the Rfam family "Bacterial small subunit ribosomal RNA", at positions 506 to 917 of the family's 1533-position model. The record is from RNAcentral.